AGGGCACCACCAGGAGUGGAGCCUGCGGCUUAAUUUGACUCAACACGGGAAAACUCACCCGGCCCGGACACCGUAAGGAUUGACAGAUUGAGAGCUCUUUCUUGAUUCGGUGGUUGGUGGUGCAUGGCCGUUCUUAGUUGGUGGAGCGAUUUGUCUGGUUUAUUCCGAUAACGAACGAGACUCUGGCCUACUAAAUAGUGACAGGAUUAUUACUGUCUUGGAUACUUCUUAGAGGGACAAGUGGUUUUCAGCCACACGAAAUUGGGCAAUAACAGGUCUGUGAUGCCCUUAGAUGUCCGGGGCUGCACGCGCGCUACACUGAAGGAAUCGGCGUGCUAAAACCAUUGUCGAAAGGCAUUGGUAAACCCAUUAAAAUCCUGCGUGAUUGGGAUCGGGAAUUGCAAUUAUUUCCCUUGAGCGAGGAAUUCCCAGUAAGUGUGGGUCAUAAGCUCGCGUUGAUUACGUCCCUGCCCUUUGUACACACCGCCCGUCGCUGCCCGGGACUGAGCCGUUUCGAGA
RNAcentral lists this ribosomal RNA (519 nucleotides) under uncultured eukaryote. RNAcentral describes it as "SSU rRNA". It matches the Rfam family "Eukaryotic small subunit ribosomal RNA", at positions 1161 to 1704 of the family's 1831-position model. The record is from RNAcentral.